Oncorhynchus mykiss (rainbow trout) is the source of this 571-nucleotide non-coding RNA. NCBI's taxonomy places the organism in Eukaryota, Metazoa, Chordata, Actinopteri, Salmoniformes, Salmonidae. The record is from RefSeq and is a predicted model, not a curated record.
AUGUGUUUUAACUCCAGGACCAACACUGGGCUAUGAGGACAACAGGGAAGGGCUGGAUAACCUAGUUGUUUAGGGCAAUAUAGUGACCACCAAUGUGACCUUCCCAGACAGCCUGUCCAUAACACUAUGCCAGAGACUAAAUAUUGAAGAUAACGCAGACAUAUCUAACCAUCAGACUCUGCCUACAAUCCCCUCAUCCAUCAAGAUGUUAAGAGAUAUAGAUCCAACAGUGUUUACCAUCCAGAGAGGAGAUGCUCAAGCUGUGAAAGAGCUGUCAGUGACUGCACCACUCAGCCUGACGAAAGAGAACAAAGAAGGAUGAAUACCUUUGCAUGAGGCUGCAUAUUGUGGCCAAGCUGAAUAUAUAAAGGCACUGCUGAAAGCCCAACCAGGAUUAGUUGACAAGCACACCCUCUAAGAACAGGCUGCUCUCCUCCUGUCAUUUUCCGUGCAACAACUGUCAUGUGUGCAAUGCCUCCUACAGGCAGGGUCAGAUCCUGACAUCAGCAGCAAGAACAAAGAGACUCCCCUAUACAAAGGUACAGCACCCUACGUGGCUAUAGCAGGUACG